ACUCACACCUCACUCACCGCUGCCUAUAUUCAAACCCAUCACCCAUGUCUCUUGCAUCAUAAACAAUUCUACUUCCAUCCUCAUAUCAGAUCUAACUAUGAUAGUGAAACCACUGAAGAUUUUUACCAUUUGUUCCGGUGAAAUGCUCAUUGUUGAUGAGUUUGCUACAACCGUGAUUUCUUUGAUUAGCCAACACAAUAUACCAGAUGGAGGAACUUGUGCUCCAGCAGACGGGGCAGAUCACCGGUGGGAUUAGAGUUUGUUGUGGAACUGGUGGAUGUGGUGGGAUUAGGGCUAAUUGUUGUAUGUCGCGAGUGUUGUUGUGAUUGAAAUUGAUCCUCAACUUCUCUAGAUCAAUAAAAUUAGUUGGGUUCAUUGGAGUUUGAGUUAUUGUGUGAUGUUUUGAGUGGAAAUAAUGUUAAUGGUGGUCGUGAUGAUAUGCUGCGUAGGAAUAAUAUCUAUCUGCAAAACUUGAUUAAAUCAACUAUGUUUGUGUUUGUGGCAGGGGUAUACUCCUUAGUCCUUAGGUGCAAGUGUACUAUUUUAUAUUUGUAUUGAGGAGUUUGUAAUUUAAAAUAUAAAGAAUGAAUAAAGAUGUUUCUAUUUUGCAUUGCA
This is a long non-coding RNA of Trifolium pratense (red clover), 615 nucleotides long. RefSeq lists it as uncharacterized. The transcript has 3 exons. The record is from RefSeq and is a predicted model, not a curated record. Lineage: Eukaryota; Viridiplantae; Streptophyta; Magnoliopsida; Fabales; Fabaceae.